GGAGUGAUGCUUCCACCUCAGUUAACUUAGUCUACAAGCUCUGUCACAGGUGUGACCAGGGAUUUGCUUUCUAGGCUAUUCUUGAUCCUGGUUAAGUUGACAGUCAGAAUAAACCCUCACAACUUGUUUCUGGAAUCAAAAGAUUUUUGUCUUUAAGAGUGGGGCCAUUGACUGGAUUUAAAUAACCACACUAUAAGAUUUAUACUCAACAGGAUUGUUGCUCCCUGGUUGCUUCUUUUCCCCUUUCCAAUCUUGUUUCAGUCACCUGUAUUUUAUCUGCAGGUUCCCAGGGGCCUUCUCUUGCAUCCACGAGCAAUGGCAGACACAGUGCCUCAUCACCCAAAGCCCCUGACCCUGAGGGGCUGGCCAGGCCCGUCUCUCCUGACAGCCCAGAAAUCAUCAGUGAGCUCCAGCAGUAUGCAGAUGUGGCCGCUGCUCGGGAAUCCCAUCAGAACUCCCCAAGCAUCAGUGCUGCCCUGCCUGGCCCCCCGGCCCAACUUAUGGACAAUAGCACCAUUCCUGGGACAGCUCUUGGAACUGAGCCAUGCCUUGGGGGUCAUUGCCUCAAUAGUUCCCUCUUGGUGACUGGUCAGCCCAGUAGUGGCAGGCAUCCAGUGCUGGACUUAAGGGGCCAUAAGCGAAAGUUGGCCACUCCAUCUGUCUCCCAGGAAUCAGUCCGUCGACGGUCCAGGAAGGGCCAUCUGCCAGCCCCCGUGCAGCCCUAUGAACACGGGUAUCCAGUUCUGGCGGGUUUUCAAUGCCACCUGUCUCCUUAAAUCAUAACCUCACCACCCCCUUCACCUCCCAGGCUGGGGAGAAUUCCCUGUUUAUGGGCAGUAAUCCCUCCUACUACCAGCUGUCCAAUUUGCUGGCAGAUGCCCGCCUGGUGUUUCCAGUGACUACUGACCCUCUGGUGCCAGCAGGCCCUGUCAGUUCCUCUUCCACGGCUACCUCAGUCACUGCCAGCAACCCCUCCUUCAUGCUCAACCCCUCUGUGCCAGGGAUACUACCCAGCUAUUCACUCCCAUUCUCACAGCCACUCCUGUCCGAGCCGAGGAUGUUUGCGCCUUUCCCUUCCCCUGUCUUGCCCAGCAACCUUUCGAGGGGCAUGUCUGUUUACCCAGGCUAUAUGUCCCCACAUGCAGGCUACCCAGCUGGUGGCCUCCUCCGGUCCCAGGUGCCUCCAUUUGACUCGCAUGAGGUUGCUGAGGUGGGGUUCAGCUCCAAUGAUGAUGAGGAUAAAGAUGACGAUGUGAUAGAGGUCACUGGGAAGUAGCUAGGAAGCCCCUGCCCACCUCACUUGGGGCCCCUAGAAGGUUGCCCACCAAACUGGAAGGCAAUGAACCUGGUCUUUCUGAAAAUAGGGUACUUGGCAGGAGAGAAGAAAAGACAAAGGAGAGUGGUUGGCCAUAAUGGUAGGCUCAAUUGCUGUUCACCAGAAGAAGAAAAAGAAAACAAAAACAAAAGACCCCAGAAACUCCACAGAGCUGAAAAAGUGGGAAAUCAGGGACCGCAAACAGGGAUGGAGUGUAUGGCAGCCUGCCUCUUCCUUCCUGCCUUUCCUAUGCUGUCUGCUUAUAUGCCCUCUAAGUGCAGAAGCGCAUACCCAUUCUGCCUUUGGGAACAUCUCUCCCAAGAAAGAGUAAAGAAGAUGAGGGUGGGCAUGGGAGGCAGACUAGGAUUCCACCAGAAGAGCGUCUCUUUAGGAGGUUGGCAGGAAGUGAGCCAGGCCCGUGUGUGUGUGUGUGUGUGUGUGUGUGUGUGUGUGUGUGUGUGUGUGUACGUGUACAUGUGAGUACGUAUGUGUACCCAUGCACGCAAGAGAGAACAUGUAUGUAGCAGAACAAGGGUGAAAGUGGGAGGGGAGGGAGGGGAAAAACUAAGAGGUAAACUAAAAAGAAAUGAAUUUAUCUUUUUUUGAAGUGUGAUCAGAGUGUGGUGGUUUAUGGCUACUAAGUUGAACAUCAAAAUGAGUCCAGGAGAAGAGCCAUGAAAGCCAGUUUCAUUCUGGCUAGGUGAAGAGAAGGCCGGGCUAACUUGAGUCCCUAGUCCCACAUUUGUUUUUUAACUUGGGGGAAAUCAUGAGAAAGUGAGUGUCUCCAAUUUCUUAUUCUCUCCACAGUGGCCAUCUCUGAGCAGAUGUCCCUUUCCACAUGGGCUCGAAGUGCACUGCAGUGAGGGUGAGGUUGUGUUGUGGCUGGAAAAGAUGUGCUUCACUAGGACAGAGGGAAGCCCCUUUGGCUGCCUGUGCUGGUGGCCUUUCCUCUUCUUUCCCUCCCCAUUAGAGAGCUCCAUGUUAAUUUAUUCUUAUGGGCAAUUAUUUAUUAUUGUCAUUUGGGGAAAAGGGUUGUGGGGAAGGGUUAUAAAGAAGAUAGCUAAUAGUAAAGCAAAUUCUAAAAUAUUCCAGACCCCCUGGCUGCUGGUAAAAAUAAGCAAAUAAAAAGGGUCCCAGGUAGAUGGUAAAUUAAUUGACCAGGGAAAGAGAGUUAGAAUUAACCAAAAGUUACAGCUAUGUUGUGGGAAAAUGGCCUCUCAGGGAAAUCAGGGAGCCGUGAGACUGGCUAGUUGGGGGUGGUGAGACUCAUUCCAUAGAAAUUGAAACUUGGGAUCAUGGACUUGGCUACUGGGAAAUAAGUCACCUCCACAUUUGGAACUAGUGUCCUCUGAUGAUUUUACAGGCCAGUUCUCUGCUGAAAAGUGAAACUGUGGACAGGUAGCUGCUGGGUUGAGGUAAUAGACUACUGCUUUUGAGUUGGAACUUGUCUUGGCCUCCCUAGCAUAACAGGUGAUCAGUAUAGGCCUGGUUUCUGGUCCCUCCAUCUUCUCUCAAGUAUCACAGGGAAGCCCUUCCUCUGAGGAGUCUUAUAUCUGGCUUUUGUUUUAAAAGAAUACGAACACAUGAGUCAUUUUGGUCUCCCUUUUUUGUACCAAAUACCACGGCAGGGGUGUCUAGUACUUAAACAUAAACACUGGCUGUUUUCUAUUAUUGGUGUGUACUGUGUCUUGUAACUCUCUGCCCCCCAAGUUUUUCCAUGCAGUUCUUUAUGAUGAAUAACUCCUGUCUGGGUUUACCACCUUCCCUUGGCUCCAAUCUGAGUGGGCAACUGCUAGAUCUGCCUCCUAGUCCAAGAAGUAUCUUAACCACUGCCUGUGACUCUUGACUAGCAAUUUCUCAUUGUUAGGGGAAAGAAGGGAGCUUAAAAGUAGACACUGGGAUUGUCCCAGAGAUAAGAGAUAGAUGGUUGAUGGGGUGUGUGUACUGUCCAGUAACACCAAAAGUGGACUUGAGCUUUCUGUCUGUUUUCAUGUGCACCCGGUCAGACACUUAACUCUUCUACUCAUAGAAGCCUUAGAUCUACAGUUUAGCUAUGCAAAUUAUUUUUAAUAAUUCAAAAAUAGCAGUUUCAACCAGUGCUUUCUCGGUCAUAUGUAGUCCAAGAAUUGAUAGCCAAGGCAUUUAAUUGGAGUGGGCUCUUAGGUCCAGGCUGGUGCAGUGGGAGUGAGCUAAUCCAGAUUUCUGUAGUUUGCAAAACACAUUUAAAACUUGGCUUACAUGGAUGCCUCUCAGACUUGGAACACUGAGCUCCCAGAGUUGUAUGUCUCUGUGUGUGUGCCCUGCUAACCAGGAAAAGGGGUGUCUCUGUGUUCACAAAUGGG
Molecule: long non-coding RNA, 3657 nt
Filed under: Rattus norvegicus (Norway rat)
Lineage: Eukaryota; Metazoa; Chordata; Mammalia; Rodentia; Muridae
Description: long non-coding RNA NONRATT028952
Source: RNAcentral